Molecule: ribosomal RNA, 157 nt
Filed under: Ascogregarina taiwanensis
Lineage: Eukaryota; Apicomplexa; Conoidasida; Eugregarinorida; Lecudinidae
Description: 5.8S ribosomal RNA
Rfam family: 5.8S ribosomal RNA
About the family: 5.8S ribosomal RNA (5.8S rRNA) is a component of the large subunit of the eukaryotic ribosome. It is transcribed by RNA polymerase I as part of the 45S precursor that also contains 18S and 28S rRNA.
Source: RNAcentral
UGACUUUUGGCGAUGGAUGUCUCGGCUCUUGCUUCGAUGAAGGACGCAGCUUACUGCGAUAAGCAGUGUGACUUGCAGAAUUCUGAGAAACACUAGAUUUUUGAACGCAUACGGUACUUCUUGGCUUGCUAAGGAGUAUGUCCAGUUCAGUGCCUCA